RNAcentral lists this ribosomal RNA (410 nucleotides) under uncultured alveolate. Its description in RNAcentral is "bacterial SSU rRNA". It matches the Rfam family "Eukaryotic small subunit ribosomal RNA", at positions 378 to 797 of the family's 1831-position model. The record is from RNAcentral.
AGAUUCCGGAGAGGGAGCCUGAGAAAUGGCUACCACAUCUAAGGAAGGCAGCGGGCGCGCAAAUUACCCAAUCCUGACACAGGGAGGUAGUGACAAGAAAUAACAAUACGGGGCUUCAAGUCUUGCAAUUGGAAUGAGUAGUUUUUAAACCUCGCUACGAGUAUCAAUUGGAGGUCAAGUCUGGUGCCAGCAGCCGCGGUAAUUCCAGCUCCAAUAGCGUAUAUUAAAGUUGUUGCAGUUAAAAAGCUCGUAGUUGGAUGUCUGCUCGGUUAUGCCGGUCGGCACUCAGUGUCUGUACUCGGUUAUUUCCGGGCAUUUACUAGGGAACACGACUGCACUUGACGGUGUGGCGUGCUACUUAGUUCCGUUACUUUGAGAAAAUUAGAGUGUUUCAAGCAGGCCUAUGCCUU